CCUACGGGUGGCUGCAGUGGGGAAUAUUGGGCAAUGGGCGCAAGCCUGACCCAGCAACGCCGCGUGAAGGAAGACGGCUUUCGGGUUGGUAACCUCUUUUCUCAGGGACGAAGCAAGUGACGGUACCUGAGGAAUAAGCCACGGCUAACUACGUGCCAGCAGCCGCGGGAAUACGUGGGUGGCAAGGGUUAUCCGGAUUUACGGGGUGUAAAGGGCGUGUAGGCGGGACUGCAAGGCAGAUGUGAAAACCACGGGCUCAACCUGCUGCCUGCAUUUGAAACUGUAGUUCUUGAGUACUGGAGAAGCAGACGGAAUGCCUGGUGUAGCGGUGAAAUGCGUAGAUAUUAGGCAGAACACCAGUGGCGAAGGCAGUCUGCCGG
Molecule: ribosomal RNA, 380 nt
Filed under: uncultured bacterium
Lineage: Bacteria
Description: partial 16S ribosomal RNA
Rfam family: Bacterial small subunit ribosomal RNA
Source: RNAcentral